Molecule: non-coding RNA, 1201 nt
Organism: Anas platyrhynchos (mallard)
Lineage: Eukaryota; Metazoa; Chordata; Aves; Anseriformes; Anatidae
Source: RefSeq, a predicted model, not a curated record
UCCACCGUUCAGGGGGCACUCAUAGGUGCUGGGAGCAGGGGACAGGGACAUGUGGGAAGCUGCAGAUGCGUCUCUGCAGCAGUGCUGCCGGGUGACUACCAGCGGCCAUCUGUCUCUUGCAGGGCCCAUCAGGCAUUGGAGCAUGGCUGGGCAUCCAGCCAAAAGCUGGAAGACUUGGAGGAUGAGGUGAGACAGCUCCAGGAGGAGAAGAGAGGCCUGAUAGAACAAAAUCAGCGUCUGGAAAGGGAGCAGCAUGGCCUUCUGGAGGAAGUCACCGGCCUUCAGGAGAUGAACUCAGCGCUGCUCGCUGAGGCCAAGGGAAGAAAAGAGAAUCUGCAGGCACCAGAGGCACAGAAGGAUGCCAUCCUGCAGGUAAGAGGCAUCCGAGCCUUAUCACAUGCUAACAAACCAGCUCCCUCAGCUGGGGGGGGACAACACAUGAGGCUGGCAGCCCCUCCCCCAUUAUGCCCAUCUGUGGAGGCCAAUGUGGCCAUGGUCUCCAGCCCUGCUGCGUUGCUGUGGUGUCCUGCCACAAUCCGCCUUUGCCAAGGUGAGCAACAUGAUCCCUCUCCUCAAGUGAAAAGGCUCCCCAGGGCUCCAAAGGGAUGGGAGCCACCACCGGCACCCCAAAUUUGUUGCUGUUCCCCCCAGUUCUGCAGAUGAUGUGUGGCAUGCAGGACCUGAUGGAGGCUUUGCAGCACUACGAGGGCGCUGUGUGGGCAUGGCCCCCACAAAGUCCCCAAAUCCAGCAAAAUGGAGAGGAGAAAUGGGAGAAACCUUAACAAAGUCUUUUUCUUCCCCCAAACUCAAGGAGCUACAAAUGGAGAUCAGCAGCCUCCACAGACUGCUGAGGCAGACACUGGAGGCUUUGGCCACGUAGGUGCUGUGGGUACUUGGGGGGACACAGGGCUCUCACUGGCUGAAAAUGCCCCUAUAAACUCCCAAAUCUGCGUUUUCAUCCUUCCUUCUAGCUCAGCCUCAAUCACCAUACAUAUUUGUGAGGUGGAGGUCAGGGCAGACGGCCGCCAGCUGCUUUUUGGGGCUGCAUGCUAGAAAUCGGGGCGGUCAGAAUCUUAAGGAGUAGGAAGGUGGGAGGGAAAAAAAUGGGUAGAAUCGUAAUAAAAUGUGGGAAUGCAAAGACCGUGGACACAAGUGUCGCCCCUGCAAACCUGCACUGGCAUGGAGUGAGGGCACAUGGUGC